UGAGUACGAGAUGCUACGGCAUCGAAGCAGUCUAUGUCAUACUUCCAAGAAAAGCUUGCACUGUCAUAAACAAAGAAUGCCUGUACCAUAACCGACACAGGUGGGUAGGUAGAGUAUACUAAGGGGCGCGAGAUAACUCUCUCUAAGGAACUCGGCAAAAUGACUCCGUAACUUCGGGAGAAGGAGUGCCUUAUUUCUAAGGUUGCAAUAACAAGAUCCAAGCAACUGUUUACCAAAAACACAGGUCUCCGCUAAGUCGUAAGACGAUGUAUGGGGGCUGACGCCUGCCCAGUGCCAGAAGGUUAAAGAAGUUGGUUAGCAUUAGCGAAGCUGAUAACUGAAGCCCUGGUGAACGGCGGCCGUAACGAUAACGGUCCUAAGGUAGCGAAAUUCCUUGUCGGGUAAGUUCCGACCCGCACGUAAGGCGUAAUGAUUUGGAUACUGUCUCGGAGAGGGGCUCGGUGAAAUAGACUUGUCUGUGAAGAUGCGGACUACCUGCACCUGGACAGAAAGACCCUAUGAAGCUUUACUGUAACUUGAGAUUGAAAUUGGACUUUAUUUGCGCAGUAUAGGUGGGAGGCGUUGAGAAUAAUCUUGCGGGAUUGUUGGAGCCAUCAGUGAGAUACCACUCUUGUAAUGUUAGAUUUCUAACUUUGUAUCAUUAUCUGGUCAAAGAACAGUUUCAGGCGGGCAGUUUGACUGGGGCGGUCGCCUCCCAAAGGGUAACGGAGGCGCACAAAGGUUUCCUCUGAACGGGUAGAAAUCGUAUCUAGAGUGUAAAGGCAUAAGGAAGCUUGACUGUGAGACCUACAAGUCGAGCAGGGACGAAAGUCGGUCUUAGUGAUCUGACGGUGCUGAGUGGAAAGGCCGUCACUCAACGGAUAAAAGUUACUCUAAGGAUAACAGGCUGAUCUCCCCCAAGAGUUCACAUCGACGGGGAGGUUUGGCACCUCGAUGUCGGCUCAUCGCAUCCUGGGGCGGUAGUCCGUCCCAAGGGUUGGGCUGUUCGCCCAUGAAAGCGGUACGCGAGCUGGGUUCAGAACGUCGUGAGACAGUUCGGUCCAUAUCCGGUGUAGGCGUUAGAAUAUUGAGAGGAGCCUUCUCUAGUACGAGAGGACCGAGAAGGACAUACCUCUGGUGUACCAGUUAUCGUGCCAACGGUAAACGCUGGGUAGCUAUGUAUGGAGUGGAUAACCGCUGAAAGCAUCUAAGUGGGAAGCCCACCUCAAGAUGAGUGCUCUCACAGGGUUAACCUGGUAAGGUCACGGGAAGAC
Molecule: ribosomal RNA, 1274 nt
Filed under: metagenome
Description: bacterial LSU rRNA
Rfam family: Bacterial large subunit ribosomal RNA
Source: RNAcentral